Molecule: transfer RNA, 62 nt
Filed under: bovine gut metagenome
Rfam family: tRNA
About the family: Transfer RNA (tRNA) molecules are approximately 80 nucleotides in length. Their secondary structure includes four short double-helical elements and three loops (D, anti-codon, and T loops). Further hydrogen bonds mediate the characteristic L-shaped molecular structure. tRNAs have two regions of fundamental functional importance: the anti-codon, which is responsible for specific mRNA codon recognition, and the 3' end, to which the tRNAs corresponding amino acid is attached (by aminoacyl-tRNA synthetases). tRNAs cope with the degeneracy of the genetic code in two manners: having more than one tRNA (with a specific anti-codon) for a particular amino acid; and 'wobble' base-pairing, i.e. permitting non-standard base-pairing at the 3rd anti-codon position.
Source: RNAcentral
UUUAGCUCAGUUGGUAGAGCACUUGACUUUUAAUCAAGAUGGCAUGGGUUCGAUCCCCAUAG